Molecule: long non-coding RNA, 682 nt
Organism: Fukomys damarensis (Damara mole-rat)
Lineage: Eukaryota; Metazoa; Chordata; Mammalia; Rodentia; Bathyergidae
Exons: 3
Source: RefSeq, a predicted model, not a curated record
ACAAUUCUGUGAGGUGCUUUUAUUAUCUCCAUUUUACAGAUGAGGAAACUGAGCCUCGGAGACCUGACCUCGCGUGGUCAAAAUAAGAAAUUUCACUUUUGGGUGCCUCCUAACUUGGACAGUAAGAAAAUUCCCCUUCAGAUUUUCCAACUGUCCCAUGAAGAAUGGGAACAAGUGUGCUGCGAGGACCCAUGGGACUGAAUUCGUUGAGCCCCUGAGCUACAGCCUAUAACCCUAAGGUAGGCUCACAAAUGCCGCUCAGCGACCUCAGCAGUACUUUUGACCGCCUACUAAGUGCCAGGCACUGGCCCAGGUAUUCAGAUGCAACCAAGGAGCACACAGUUUUGGCUCUGGUGGAGUACUAACUAUUCAGGACGUUAGGCAGUUCCGGUUUUCCCAUGACAAACCUGCAGCCCGGGAGCGUGGGAUUUGCCUUGUCUAAGUGCACCGUUACACAGAGGGAAAAUGGAUUUGAAGGGAACAAGCCUCACUUCAGAGCUUGAAGUCGUUGGAGUUUCCUGGUCUCCAAGGAUUCUUUCCUUCCUGGCGUGGCUAGAGGCAAGAUUAGGCGCAGAAGUAGCCGGACGGGGAAAUUGCGGCAGCUCGGGCAUCUGUGGCGCUGGGGAUGUGCUCUACUCCUUCCCUUGGGUCUCACUAUGUAAUUGAGACUGACCUGGAACUC